GAUGAGGUGGGUGAGUGGUUAAGGCGAUGGACUGCUAAUCCAUUGUGCUCUGCACGCAUGGGUUCGAAUCCCAUCCUCAUCG
This is a non-coding RNA of Syngnathoides biaculeatus (alligator pipefish), 82 nucleotides long. Lineage: Eukaryota; Metazoa; Chordata; Actinopteri; Syngnathiformes; Syngnathidae. The record is from the annotation of a RefSeq genome assembly.